RNAcentral lists this ribosomal RNA (253 nucleotides) under uncultured bacterium. RNAcentral's name for it is "partial 16S ribosomal RNA". It matches the Rfam family "Bacterial small subunit ribosomal RNA", at positions 524 to 776 of the family's 1533-position model. The record is from RNAcentral.
GACAGAGGGUGCGAACGUUGUUCGGAAUCACUGGGCGUAAAGCGCACGUAGGCGGAUGUGUCAGUCAGGGGUGAAAUCCCGGAGCUCAACUUCGGAACUGCCUUUGAUACAGCACGUUUCGAGUCCGGAAGAGGUGGGUGGAAUUCCUAGCGUAGAGGUGAAAUUCGUAGAUAUUAGGAAGAACACCGGUGGCGAAGGCGGCCCACUGGUCCGGUACUGACGCUGAGGUGCGAAAGCGUGGGGAGCAAACAGG